RNAcentral lists this long non-coding RNA (3366 nucleotides) under Citrus maxima (pomelo). RNAcentral describes it as "long non-coding RNA (CMAX_LNC001262)". The record is from RNAcentral. Lineage: Eukaryota; Viridiplantae; Streptophyta; Magnoliopsida; Sapindales; Rutaceae.
GCCACUUUCCUUAUAAUGAAAUAUCGAUAUUACAACACCUCUUAGAAGGACAAUAAAUUCUUUUAUCACCAACAACAUUCUCAAAUGCAAAAUCUAUAAAUUUUUUGACCCCCAUCAGUAUAUGAAUUGGAUAUCUAUUUGGCAAACCAACCCAACUCUGGUCCAUGACUAUCUCCUUUUAUUGCACUAGAAAAAUUAGUUAAAUAAAUCACUUUAAUUCUUCAUUUCUACUACUAAACAAGAUAUUUUCAUGUGUGCGCAGUUUCGCAAUAUAAUAAAAAAAAUUAUUAUACAAUUUUAUGGUUUUAUAUAUAUGGAAGCAAGCAAAGCCACAAGAAUCAGAGAAAAAGAUGUGAAAAUUAAAGUAUAUAUACAAUAAUAAUUAAUCUAAAAAACAGUUUGCAAUACCUUCUGUAAAGAAAUAUCCUCACCACAGCUGAGAACUUCACUUGGCUAUCAAUUACAGAUAUAUAAAGCCUGUUACCUAGAAACAAAAAAUUAGGUCAGCCAGCUGAAACAUAUUUAUAAACCAACAUUGGAGAUAGUACUCCAUUUAUAAAAAAAAUUACAAGACUCAAAACCAAGUCGACUCAGCAAAAUCAUAACCGAUUACAUUCAUCCCACUCAGCUCCUCCAAUAUAUCCAACAUUCCCUUCAUAUUUACAAAAGGUAAGUGGUCCUAUAUAUCCCACUCAAGAAUGCAUAAGUUUCUUCAAUCUUAAGUAUCUAAAGUUUUCCUCUACGUUUAUAGAAACUUCGGAAGCAUCUCCCUAUAGUUCUUCAAGUACACGACAUAGAUAUAUGAGUGUUUAUGUGUUAUGCCAAAACAACACAUGACACCCAUUUGUCUAGUAUGCACCCAGAGAACAUGAGGAGCAGCUGCUGAAAAACCCAUUUUUACGUGGGAAAAAAAUUUCAGGCACUAGCUACCAUAGAAAUCUAUGCAUUACCAAACUGUCCAAGCCUAGAUAAUUCAAGAAUUAUUAAUAGACAUAAGAUCCUCACUAUCAUCCAAAAGAUGACACUAAUAAAACAUGUGUCUAUUAAUAAUUUCUUAAAGGAGUUUAAGCUUUCAAUGCAUGUAUCAAAAGUUUAAAAUUGAAUCUGAAACUUGAAUAACACAUAAAAAUCAUAAAUCUCUUCAAUUUAUUCCUAAUAAAAUGUAGCAUUUUUUCACAUUUCAUUUCUUAAGCAAAACCAUAAAAAAUUACAGACAAUAAAUACAUUUUCUAGCACUGAUGCACAUUAUGUUUACUGAGCAAUAAGUUUUAAGUCAUUCAUAUUAAAAUACUUCUUCCUAUUCUAUAAACAAAUAACUAGUACGUACACACAAUUAAUAAAUUAAAUGUAACCUGGUUGUGAAUCUUGCAAAGUCUUACUAUUUGUUUUUUUUUUUUGGUGGUGGUGGUGGUGGGGGGGGGGGGGGGGGGGGGGGGGGGGGGGGGGGGGGGGGGGGGGGGGGGGGGAGGGGAGGGGGGGCGGUUAUGCUCAUUUGUAUGUUGUUAACAGAAAUUGAUCCAAAGCCUCAGUUUUAAUUAGCUUCAUUAUAGCCAAUGAUUAGGUGUUUAAAAACCAAUGAAUAUUUUUUAUAAGAAAUCAACAAUAUUGUUGAAAGAAAAACCAAAUAAAAAUAAUAAAGCAAUGCAUAGAUUAAGGCUCUUUAUUAUCUAAUAACUAAUCAAACUAAGUUGUGGGUAAAGGCGAAUAUGUUUGUUUGGCCAAUAAUAAACUCAAGGAAUCACCAAUAAUCACCUAGUUACUAUUCCUUAUGCCAUGCAAUGUAAUGGUGUCAGUAAUGGCGACAAGGCAGGCAAUAACUAGCUAGCUAGUUAUGAUAGUUGCUUAACUUAACCUACUGGAAAUCUGAAGACCAAAAUGAAGAAACUUUGCCUAGAACUAGAAUAGGAAAACGUUCAUACCCAAAACCAAUAUACAUGAUUAACAAACUUGAUUAUAUGUAUAUUUUUGUUUGCCACACCAAAUCCCACUAUUUCCAUACUCAUAAGCACAAAAAACCAUCGCAAAAAUGAAUGACCAUAUAAAAUAAAAUAGGUCGUAGGACAUUGAGAAUAGGACAAUAUGAUUUAUGUACCGUAAAAUAACUAUAUCUGCAGUCAACUAUAUUUCUGUUAGAACUCUAAAGUUUUCCAUUAAAUUUUUUUCCCUGUUUGGUAAACCACUUAACUGAAACACUUAAGCAAGAUUGACAAUCAUAGACAUACAAGUAUUAAUAGGCUCGUUCAAGUGAAAUGAGCAUUAUUUCACAUAUCCUUUAGGCUUUUAAGUCAUUUAGAAGUCAUUCAUGUUAAACAAUUUCUUCAUAUACUUUCAAUAUAAUUAGUACAUACACAAUUAAUUAAUUAAAUAAAUCUGUUUCAGCUAGCACAGGAACUUAAGCAAUCAGAGCUAUUAGUUAUAGCUAGGACUUGAAUGAGGCACCUUUCAAAGUUCAAGAGGAGCAUCUGAACAGAAUGAAAGCAUUUUGUAGAAAUGGUAGUGAUGCUUUACAUCUACAUGCUCUUACACAAUAUGAACUUUCAUUUAUUCAAGAACAUAACACUAAUCCAAGCUCUUACUCUACAAGUCAAUUCAGUUUGUAGAUGCAAGCCAUUGUAAAAACUUUUGUGUUAUAAUUUCCGUAAAUGGAACAUGACAUUACUAAUAUAGAAUCAGCAAUGUUAUAUAACUUAUCAGACAAUAUAACAAGCACUUGGCGAGCAUAUAAGAUAAACUAAAACAAGUUAAUUAGAAAAUGAAACUAAAACCCAAGCUCCGCUAUUCAUUGUAGAAGCUUUAAACAUAAAAUAAAAGUAAAUCUAAAUACAUGAUUGUAAAACAUUAGAAUGGAUGUUGGAAUUAAAGCUAAAUUCAAUAGUAAUCCAAAUGAAUCCAUUUGAACUUUGUAAAUUCCGCAGAACAAAAUUAAUUUGAGUGAGCAAAGUCACCAAUGGAACAAGAACAGAAGGGCUUCAACUUCUAGGAACAAGAAAUAUUGCCGGCGGGACAAAAAUUGACAUUAAUGGUUACAAUACGAAUUAAAGAAAUCAAAACCUAUAAUUACAAGCUAAGAAAGAGAAGAAACUCAUAAUCACAAGCUUACCUGAAACGAUGAGAGAGAUAAUAAGAUGAAGAAGAAGAUCGCCGCCGUUUUACGCCAUUCUCCGGCUACCAGUAAGGUUUAGGAUGGCCAGGCACGCACGAGAGAGAAUUUGGGACUUUGGUUUUGAAAAUAUUGACUUCAGCAAAUAGUUUUCUAUUUAGAAACAAAUUUAUAACUCUACCGUCAAAAUAAUAGUAUGCCAAUUGGCUCUCUACCGUCACGUGGUUAGUAACAUAAGUGAGAGCAGUCUAGCAGAUAUUCCCGCG